Molecule: unclassified non-coding RNA, 1431 nt
Filed under: Centruroides sculpturatus (bark scorpion)
Lineage: Eukaryota; Metazoa; Arthropoda; Arachnida; Scorpiones; Buthidae
Description: heterogeneous nuclear ribonucleoprotein 87F-like, transcript variant X3
Source: RNAcentral
UGUUAGGAGUUCGAGGUUAAGUAUUUUUCGACAUUGUUCGUUGCUGGUCGUCGGCUUGACAAAGUGGUUCUGUAAUUUUGUCUUUUCUCGUUGCAAUUUUUGUAGAAAAUGGGUGCUUCUGAUAAUGAACAAGAGCCUGAGCAAUUUCGUAAAUUGUUCAUUGGUGGGCUUGAUUAUAAAACAACGGAAGAUUCUCUGAAAGGUCAUUUUGAACAAUGGGGUGAAAUUGUUGAUUGUGUCGUGAUGAGAGAUCCUAAUACCAAAAAAUCUAGAGGUUUUGGAUUUAUAACUUAUAAACAAGCAUAUAUGGUUGAUGAUGCACAAGCAGCUAGACCCCAUAAAGUUGACGGAAGAGAAGUGGAGCCAAAACGUGCUGUUCCAAGAGAGGAUUCUGGAAAACCAGAAGCUCAAGCAACUGUGAAAAAAGUUUUUAUUGGUGGUCUGAAGGAAGAUGUUGAAGAAGAUGAUUUGAGAGAGUAUUUUGAUCAGUUUGGAAAAAUUGUAAACUGCAGUAUUGUUACUGAAAAAGAAACAGGAAGAAAAAGAGGAUUUGCAUUUAUUGAAUUUGAUGAUUAUGAUCCAGUAGAUAAAAUAGUCUUGAAAAGACAUCACUUGUUAAAAGGGAAAAGAACAGAAGUGAAGAAGGCUUUAUCAAAACAAGAAAUGGAAAAUAUUAAAAGGAACAAAGAAAUGAAACAAGGACGAGGAUCAUCUGGAAACCGAGGAGGAGGAGGUGGUGGUGGAGGUGAUUGGGGAGGCCGUGGUGACUUCGGAAAUAGUGGAUUUGGAGGUGGAUAUGGAAGCUCUGGAUUUGGUGGUGGCUUUGGAAGCCAAGGUAAUAGUAAUUUUGGUGGUUUUCGAAAUCAAGGAGGAAAUAGCAGUAGUGGAUAUGGAAAUCAAUUCAGUUCAAGAUUUGGUCAAGGUGGUGGAGGAGGUGGUGGUGGAUGGGCUGAUGAUUUCGGCUCUGGUUAUGGAAAUAGUUUUGGGGGUGGUCCCAUGAGAGGAGGAAGCGGAAGUAGUUUUCAUCAGCGUGGACAAGGCCCAUAUGGUGGUGGCUAUGGAGGUGGUGGUGGUGGUGGUUAUGGUGGUUUUCGAAGAUAAGUGCCAUAAUUUGAAAGGGGAAUGGGGAUAGAUAGGUGUAAAUGAUGUGUGUUAAGGAAGAAAUUAUGGUGCCUCGUAUAACGGAUGCUGCGAACAACAGACUUUCUGUUUGGCUGUUACGUGACUCGAGCAAUGGACUGGCUGCGAACAAUGGACUUUUCGUUCGGCAGUAACAUGAGGCGAACAACUGACUUUCUGUGAACAGCGUAUCAGAAAACUUCAGCUCUAAUAAAGAAAAGCAGAAGCCUGCAUUUUGAAUGUUAAAAAAUUGCCAUAAUAAUGUAGAUCUCAUGAUUUUAAAAUGAGAGAGAGAUUUGAGAGGAAAAAAUA